UGCAAUGUUAGAGGCCACGCAUGCUG
Molecule: non-coding RNA, 26 nt
Filed under: Mus musculus (house mouse)
Lineage: Eukaryota; Metazoa; Chordata; Mammalia; Rodentia; Muridae
Source: RNAcentral